RNAcentral lists this transfer RNA (75 nucleotides) under Methyloligella solikamskensis. Its description in RNAcentral is "tRNA-Val". It matches the Rfam family "tRNA". From Rfam's summary of the family: Transfer RNA (tRNA) molecules are approximately 80 nucleotides in length. Their secondary structure includes four short double-helical elements and three loops (D, anti-codon, and T loops). RNAcentral also lists the same sequence under 14 other names. The record is from RNAcentral. Lineage: Bacteria; Pseudomonadati; Pseudomonadota; Alphaproteobacteria; Hyphomicrobiales; Hyphomicrobiaceae.
GGGCGCGUAGCUCAGCGGGAGAGCACUACGUUGACAUCGUAGGGGUCACUGGUUCGAUCCCAGUCGCGCCCACCA